AUCUAUUUAGUUUAAAAAAAAUUUAAAUUUGUGGAAUUUAAGAUGUAAAAGUGGAUACAUUAGAUA
RNAcentral lists this transfer RNA (66 nucleotides) under Hemicaecilius mockfordi. RNAcentral's name for it is "tRNA-His". The record is from RNAcentral. Lineage: Eukaryota; Metazoa; Arthropoda; Insecta; Psocodea; Sphaeropsocidae.